ACAAACAGAUCAAAUUAAGAUUAAUAAUAGUAAAAAAGGAGGUUAUAUAGAUUAUUUCGAAAAAUAAUGCUUUUUAGGGAGGUGGAAUUUAGAUAAAAAGAGGUAAUUUAGAUUUUUCUUUUUUUGAGGCCUCGAAAUUUUGUUAUGAGACCGGGAUUAGAUACCCCGUUAUUCAAAAUGUAAACUUUGAUUGUAUUUAUGAUUUACUUGAGUAUUACGAGUAUAUAAAGGGCUAUCUCCUUACUAUAUUGCUUAAAACUCAAAGAACUUGGCGGUGCCUUAUAUCCUUUCAGGGGAACCUGUCCUGUAAUCGAUAGUCCACGAUUUAACUUACUUUUUUUUGAAUUUUGUCAGCUUGUAUACCGUCGUCGUCAGGUUACCUUUAAGAGGUAUGAAGUUAUCGGUGAGAAUAGGAAGAAGAAUUAGAUUUUGUUAUUAUAUAUAAGUUGAGGUUGAUUCUUGUAACGGUUCUAGACGUCAGAUCAAGGUGCAGCCUAUAAAGAAGUAGAGAUGGGUUACAAUAAUGAGUUAUUAUAUGGAUUUUUGUUGUAAGUAGCAGAAUUGAAGGAGGACUUGGAAGUAAUUAGUUUAAAGAUGAGAGAGCUUAAAUGAAAAUAGGCUCUGAGGUGCGC
This 632-nucleotide ribosomal RNA is filed under the name Solariellidae clade B sp. 3 LS-2013. RNAcentral's name for it is "partial 12S ribosomal RNA". Lineage: Eukaryota; Metazoa; Mollusca; Gastropoda; Trochida; Solariellidae. The record is from RNAcentral.